This 1114-nucleotide non-coding RNA is filed under the name Drosophila sechellia. Its description in RNAcentral is "Eukaryotic large subunit ribosomal RNA". It matches the Rfam family "Eukaryotic large subunit ribosomal RNA", at positions 1422 to 2405 of the family's 3401-position model. Lineage: Eukaryota; Metazoa; Arthropoda; Insecta; Diptera; Drosophilidae. The record is from Rfam by way of RNAcentral.
CCUGCAUGGAGCUGCCAUUGGUACAGAUCUUGGUGGUAGUAGCAAAUAAUCGAAUGAGACCUUGGAGGACUGAAGUGGAGAAGGGUUUCGUGUGAACAGUGGUUGAUCACGAGUUAGUCGGUCCUAAGUUCAAGGCGAAAGCCGAAAAUUUUCAAGUAAAACAAAAAUGCCUAACUAUAUAAACAAAGCGAAUAUAAUACACUUGAAUAAUUUUGAACGAAAGGGAAUACGGUUCCAAUUCCGUAACCUGUUGAGUAUCCGUUUGUUAUUAAAUAUGGGCCUCGUGCUCAUCCUGGCAACAGGAACGACCAUAAAGAAGCCGUCGAGAGAUAUCGGAAGAGUUUUCUUUUCUGUUUUAUAGCCGUACUACCAUGGAAGUCUUUCGCAGAGAGAUAUGGUAGAUGGGCUAGAAGAGCAUGACAUAUACUGUUGUGUCGAUAUUUUCUCCUCGGACCUUGAAAAUUUAUGGUGGGGACACGCAAACUUCUCAACAGGCCGUACCAAUAUCCGCAGCUGGUCUCCAAGGUGAAGAGUCUCUAGUCGAUAGAAUAAUGUAGGUAAGGGAAGUCGGCAAAUUAGAUCCGUAACUUCGGGAUAAGGAUUGGCUCUGAAGAUUGAGAUAGUCGGGCUUGAUUGGGAAACAAUAACAUGGUUUAUGUGCUCGUUCUGGGUAAAUAGAGUUUCUAGCAUUUAUGUUAGUUACUUGUUCCCCGGAUAGUUUAGUUACGUAGCCAAUUGUGGAACUUUCUUGCUAAAAUUUUUAAGAAUACUAUUUGGGUUAAACCAAUUAGUUCUUAUCAAUUAUAACGAUUAUCAAUUAACAAUCAAUUCAGAACUGGCACGGACUUGGGGAAUCCGACUGUCUAAUUAAAGCAAAGCAUUGUGAUGGCCCUAGCGGGUGUUGACACAAUGUGAUUUCUGCCCAGUGCUCUGAAUGUCAAAGUGAAGAAAUUCAAGUAAGCGCGGGUCAACGGCGGGAGUAACUAUGACUCUCUUAAGGUAGCCAAAUGCCUCGUCAUCUAACUAGUGACGCGCAUGAGUGGAUUAACGACGGACGUGUUUUCGUUGCGCUCGUGUACAGAUUGCGACGAACUUGGUUUUCCGGGUUUGGAAA